GAUUAACGCUGGCGGCGUGCAUAACACAUGCAAGUCGAACGAUGAAACUUAACUGAUUUCUUCGGAAUGAUUUUAAGUGGAUUAGUGGCGGACGGAUGAGUAACGCGUGAGUAACCUGCCUUGGAGAAGGGGAUAGCCUUUGGAAACGAAGAAUAAUACCCUAUGAUAUGAUAAUAUCUCAUGAUAUUAUCAUCAAAGAUUUAUCGCUCUAAGAUGGACUUGCGUCUGAUUAGUUAGUUGGUGAGGUAACAGCUCACCAAGGCAGCGAUCAGUAGCCGGCUUGAGAGAGUGUACGGCCACAUUGGGACUGAGACACGGCCCAGACUCCUACGGGAGGCAGCAGUGGGGAAUUUUGCACAAUGGGGGAAACCCUGAUGCAGCGACGCCGCGUGAUUUAGAAGGCCUUCGGGUUGUAAAAAUCUUUUGUAUGGGAAGAAAAUGACAGUACCAUACGAAUAAGGACCGGCUAAUUACGUG
This 477-nucleotide ribosomal RNA is filed under the name uncultured bacterium. RNAcentral describes it as "partial 16S ribosomal RNA". It matches the Rfam family "Bacterial small subunit ribosomal RNA", at positions 28 to 507 of the family's 1533-position model. The record is from RNAcentral.